This 287-nucleotide long non-coding RNA is filed under the name Elaeis guineensis (African oil palm). RNAcentral's name for it is "long non-coding RNA (EGUI_LNC033170)". The record is from RNAcentral. Lineage: Eukaryota; Viridiplantae; Streptophyta; Magnoliopsida; Arecales; Arecaceae.
CUUCUUAUAUCAUGAGCUUUGCAGGGCCACCAGGCCAGAUGCGCAUGAGAUAGCUGACCCAUUGGUGUUGCUAUAGCUUUGGAUAUGGAAGUAUUUAUACGUCAGAUGGUCAGAUAGGGUGCUCCUUAGGGUAGUAUCCCACUAACCAGUGCCAGAAGAUGAUGCAGUAGGACAUGAUCUGUUGGAUGAGGAUGAUGCUAGUAUUGGGGACCCAUUUGGUGGGAUAUAGCAUGACUAGACUGAUCCACUAGGAUGCAGAUAUGUAACCAAUAGUACUGAUGUUUUAU